Molecule: ribosomal RNA, 253 nt
Filed under: uncultured bacterium
Lineage: Bacteria
Description: partial 16S ribosomal RNA
Rfam family: Bacterial small subunit ribosomal RNA
Source: RNAcentral
UACGUAGGUGGCGAGCGUUAUCCGGAUUUACUGGGCGUAAAGCGCUUGUAGGCGGCUUCGUAAGUUGGGCGUGAAAGCUCCGGGCUUAACCCGGAGAGGCCGUCCAAUACUGCGGAGCUCGAGGGUGCCAUAGGAAGGUGGAAUUCCUGGUGUAGCGGUGAAAUGCGUAGAUAUCAGGAGGAACACCCGUGGCGAAGGCGGCUUUCUGGGGCAUUCCUGACGCUGAGAAGCGAAAGCUAGGGGAGCAAACAGG